This is a long non-coding RNA of Brassica napus (rape), 1600 nucleotides long. RefSeq lists it as uncharacterized. Lineage: Eukaryota; Viridiplantae; Streptophyta; Magnoliopsida; Brassicales; Brassicaceae. The transcript has 2 exons. The record is from RefSeq and is a predicted model, not a curated record.
AAUAGCCACUUCUUUCAAGGAUCAACUUCUUCUUGGAGGAGGACGAACUCAGCUACAACCCGUAACCAGACUCACUCCUAUCGGAAAAAUUCCUACCAUUGCCAAAAUAGACACUACCCAAGCCAUCCUUGAACAAAUAAAACUAACCAAGGAAAAAUUUCUCGAAUACUUCGAAGAAAUAAAUACCUACCCAGAAAAAACCAUCUACAAACAUAUAUACCCAAAAAACCAUCAAGGCCUUGGCCCAAAAGCAGUGGUACUUCCCGAAGCAGACCCAAUACUUACAAAAAACCUCCAUGAAUAUGGACUUAUAGAAACCCUUUAUAUACGAAAACCCGAUUACCAACUAAAACACUUCCCGAUCGGAUUAAAAACAGCUAUUUCAAGGUAUUUUUCAGGAUAUGCUAAAGGAAAGGAAGUAUUUCUUCAGUAUUAUAGCAACCACCCAGAACUCAACCAAACAGGAUUAAGCUGCCCAGCAAUCAAAUUAAUAAUAAUGGGGAUUAGUAACGAGCAAUAUCCAACCAAAGAUGGUGCAGCAAACAUUCACUACGAUGAAGACGACCUGGUUCUAGUCGAUGCUGAAUUAACCAUAGGAAUACUCAGAAAACUUGUCUACAUGAACGACUUCUUCCGACUCAACUACAAAUCCGACUCAACACUUUUACUCACCAAAUCAACCAAAGAAUUCGACAUCCAAGAAAUUAUAGGCCCGAUAGUCUACAAAAUAUGGGACAAUGGGAUCAUCAAAAGUCUGCAAUAUCAUCAAACAAUGUGUAGACUACUCAUUCAAAGCCAGCUACAGGACAAGAUCAACGAAAAACACAAAUGCUCGAUCUGUACAGACAAAUCCGAGGAAGCCCAAGAAGAAAAGGCCCAAGAAGACUCUAGUGAUGAUCCAAUAAUAGAAGACGAAGCAACACCGACAAAGGCAAUAAACAUGUGAGGAAAAUAGGUCGGCAACCACUCGUAACCACUUAGAAAAAUCAAUAAUGUAAUCUUAUCUUUUUCUUUUUAUUGGCCGAGAUAAGAUUUCGAUCUUAUCUUCUUAUCUUUAGUAAUGUCUCCGUUGUAAUAUAAAAAGAUGCAUAAGGCAUCGAUGAAUAAUAAGACUUAAGCGAGUUUGUAUAAUUUGGUUAUCUAACCCUUCUGUUGAGACUUCGUCUCUGAAUAGCAGAAAAAACAAAUACAAAACUCGAAAAUAAUUUGGUAUCAGAGCCUCCAUCAUCUUGCCUUUGGAGUCACUAAGAUGAUUGUCCCUUCGGGGACAUCCGAUAAAAUUGGAACGAUACAGAGAAGAUUAGCAUGGCCCCUGCGCAAGGAUGACACGCACAAAUCGAGAAAUGUUCUCAUGGUCGGGAAGAUGCUGUCAACCAAUGAAGUACAUAUCCUUGCUUUGAUUAAAACGGUUGGGCUUUAAACUCCAGUGGAAACAGAGGUUCUGAAUGAAAUUAAAACAAAAAACAGUCUGUUGCUUUGCUUGUUUUAAAAUCAAAUCUUCGAUAUACACGACCACCACAGGAUGGUUUUCACUCCACAAAGUUUAUAACUAAAUGACCCACCACUUUAAAUCGAAUAAAGUUUACAACUUUGCAACUAA